UACACUCCUACGGGAGGCAGCAGUGGGGAAUUUUGGACAAUGGGCGAAAGCCUGAUCCAGCAAUGCCGCGUGAGUGAAGAAGGCCUUCGGGUUGUAAAGCUCUUUUGUCAGGGAAGAAACGGUGAGAGCUAAUAUCUUUUGCUAAUGACGGUACCUGAAGAAUAAGCACCGGCUAACUACGUGCCAGCAGCCGCGGUAAUACGUAGGGUGCAAGCGUUAAUCGGAAUUACUGGGCGUAAAGCGUGCGCAGGCGGUUUUGUAAGUCUGAUGUGAAAUCCCCGGGCUCAACCUGGGAAUUGCAUUGGAGACUGCAAGGCUAGAAUCUGGCAGAGGGGGGUAGAAUUCCACGUGUAGCAGUGAAAUGCGUAGAUAUGUGGAGGAACACCGAUGGCGAAGGCAGCCCCCUGGGUCAAGAUUGACGCUCAUGCACGAAAGCGUGGGGAGCAAACAGGAUUAGAUACCCUUGUAGUCCCAUGAU
RNAcentral lists this ribosomal RNA (478 nucleotides) under uncultured organism. Its description in RNAcentral is "partial 16S ribosomal RNA". It matches the Rfam family "Bacterial small subunit ribosomal RNA", at positions 332 to 801 of the family's 1533-position model. The record is from RNAcentral.